UAGGGAAUCUUCGGCAAUGGGGGGAACCCUGACCAAGCAACGCCGCGUGAGUUAAGAAGGUUUUCGGAUCGUAAAGCUCUGUUGUUAAGGAAGAACGAGUGUGAGAAUGGAAAGUUCAUACUGUGACGGUACUUAACCAGAAAGGGACGGCUAACUACGUGCCAGCAGCCGCGGUAAUACGUAGGUCCCGAGCGUUGUCCGGAUUUAUUGGGCGUAAAGCGAGCGCAGGCGGUUAGAUAAGUCUGAAGUUAAAGGCAGUGGCUCAACCAUUGUAGGCUUUGGAAACUGUUUAACUUGAGUGCAGAAGGGGGGAGUGGAAUUCCAUGUGUAGCGGUGAAAUGCGUAGAUAUAUGGAGGAACACCGGUGGCGAGAGCGGCUCUCUGGUCUGUAACUGACGCUGAGGCUCGAAAGCGUGGGGAGCGAACAGG
This 429-nucleotide ribosomal RNA is filed under the name Bacteroidota bacterium. RNAcentral describes it as "Bacteroidetes bacterium partial 16S ribosomal RNA". It matches the Rfam family "Bacterial small subunit ribosomal RNA", at positions 355 to 776 of the family's 1533-position model. Lineage: Bacteria; Pseudomonadati; Bacteroidota. The record is from RNAcentral.